Molecule: long non-coding RNA, 1073 nt
Organism: Grammomys surdaster
Lineage: Eukaryota; Metazoa; Chordata; Mammalia; Rodentia; Muridae
Exons: 2
Source: RefSeq, a predicted model, not a curated record
CCUACCAUUAUGAAUUCUCAUGAGAGAAUAUACAAACAAAAGACUGGGCAUUUGUAUCCUGAAGCCUGUACAGCAGUAACAAAUACAAGUCAGCCACUGGAGAAGUUUGGGUGAGAAAGUGGAAUGGUUAGAACGGAGCUUCAAAGCUGUAGAUGGACUCCAGCAACGGAGAGCAGCACCAGAAGAUGACGGAAGCUUCCAGAGAGAGCACUAGAAUCCUGGAAACAUGGGAGGAAAAGAAAAAAUAAAGAAAAGCUUUCCAGGUGACAGAAACAGGGAAGAGGCAGAACAGACCUCAGGACUCACAGAACAAGUCUCAUCUCCUCUAGGCCUCCACAGCCCUGUCUGAUUUGCAUAUGAAGAGACAGGUUCACAGGGAGGAAGAUCAAGAUUGGUAAAGAUCACAGCUAUGCUUCAGACAUGUACACACGUCCGCAUCCCGUAAACUGCUUGUUAUCGCCCAGAAAAUCCCAAUAAGCUUUGCCUGGGAGAGAGCUGUAGGAAGACCAACUGAGGCCUCAUUGUCUGCAGGAGAAAAAUCAAUGGAGCUUUGGUGAUCAGUUAUAAGUCCGAUAUAUCCAUGCCUGCUUUUAUGAUUUGCUAUGGUUAUCAAGGACAGGAAAGCAGAGUAGUGAGAAAAAUAAAUGCAAGGGUCCUGAUUGCAUACUGUCCUUUGGAGUAAGACAGACCAGAUAAGUUAGCUCAGGGAUGUGUUUGUAUCUCUAGAGAGAAAGAAAAAAACAUUGUGUACUUGUUAAUUUGAUGUUACCUUGACACAAGCUAGUCAUCAGAGAAGAGGAAGCCCCAAUUGAGAAAAUGCCUCCGUAAGAUCCAGCUAUAAUGCAGUUUCUUAAUUAGUGAUCAAUAGGGGAUGCCCCAGCCUGUUGUGGGUAGUACCAUCCCUGGGUUAGUGGUCCUAAGGUCUAUUAAAAAGAUCAAGCCGAGCAAACCACAGGGAGAGAGACAGUGAGCAGCAUCCCUGCAUGGUCCUGCCUCCAUAUCCCUACCCUUACCGCUUUUGAUAAUGAACUGUUAUAUGGGACUGUGGGUAAAAUAAACUCCUCCCCAAGUUG